GUGAGGAAUUUUGCGCAAUGGGAGCAAUCCUGACGCAGCAACGCCGCGUGGGUGAUGAAGGCCUUCGGGUCGUAAAGCCCUGUCAGGUGGGAAGAAUGUCCAGGGGAUGAAUAAGCUUCUGGAGUGACGGUACCACCAGAGGAAGCACCGGCUAACUCCGUGCCAGCAGCCGCGGUAAUACGGAGGGUGCGAGCGUUAUUCGGAAUUACUGGGCGUAAAGCGCGUGUAGGCGGGGCGGCAAGUCUGAUGUGAAAGCCCUGGGCUUAACCUGGGAAGUGCAUUGGAAACUGCCAUUCUUGAGUGCUGGAGAGGAAGGGGGAAUUCCCGGUGUAGAGGUGAAAUUCGUAGAGAUCGGGAGGAAUACCAGUGGCGAAGGCGCCCUUCUGGACGGCAACUGACGCUGAGACGCGAAAGCGUGGGGAGCAAACAGGAUUAGAAACCCUAGUAGUCC
RNAcentral lists this ribosomal RNA (451 nucleotides) under uncultured bacterium. RNAcentral's name for it is "bacterial SSU rRNA". It matches the Rfam family "Bacterial small subunit ribosomal RNA", at positions 354 to 796 of the family's 1533-position model. The record is from RNAcentral.